GACCAAACAUCCAAAUUCUAUGUCCAGUGAAACUGUCCUUCAGGAAACAGAGAUCAAAAUAUUCUCAGGUGAAGAAAGCUAAGAAAGCAUGUCAUCCACAAACAGAGCCUACAGGAAUGGCCAAAGAGAGCUCUCUAAACAGAAAUGGAAUGAUAAGAUCAGAAAGGGAGCAAGAACACUUGAAAGAGUGAAAAUAUGAUGCCAACUGUGCUGCUCUUGUCUACUAGGAGACUGACAUCUUUAGCUUCCACAAGCUGGGGCAGAUUGGCUUGUGCAUCUUCAUAGGUCAAAAGCAGAAGGCAGGGGUAGAACUUCUGCCACCCAACGCCCCUUCGCUGGCCCCUGCACACCCUGACCUGCUGCCUGCCACACCUGCCACCCCUCAGAGC
This 389-nucleotide long non-coding RNA is filed under the name Heterocephalus glaber (naked mole-rat). RNAcentral's name for it is "lncRNA (ENSHGLG00100049937.1)". Lineage: Eukaryota; Metazoa; Chordata; Mammalia; Rodentia; Bathyergidae. The record is from RNAcentral.